GAGAGUUAAACAGUACGUGAAAUUGUUGAAAGGGAAACGAUUGAAGCCAGUCGUACCUUCGGGUAAUCAGCCUUUCGGGUGCGAUUCUGUGGAGUUUGAGGAGCUUAACACCUUCAUGCUUUGCAUAUUCGUGCUCUUGGGUGUACUUGCCCGUGUGGUUGGUUAACAUCAAUUUUGGUGGUCAUAAAAUGACUGGAGGAAUGUAGCUUCGAUCUUGUAUUGAAGUGUUAUAGCCUUCGGUAGAUGUGAUGAUCGAGAUUGAGGAUUGCAACGGAUACCCUUCGGGGCUACCUGUCUGAUCUCUGAUCGUUGCUCUGGUGCCGAAAGCUUGCUUACGGUUAUCAAAGUCGAUGGUCAAUAGGUUAGAAUGGGUUAAAUUCGUUAAGGAUGUUGACGUAAUGGCUUUAAACGA
Molecule: ribosomal RNA, 412 nt
Filed under: uncultured Rhizophagus
Lineage: Eukaryota; Fungi; Glomeromycota; Glomeromycetes; Glomerales; Glomeraceae
Description: partial 28S ribosomal RNA
Source: RNAcentral